GAUGAACGCUGGCGGCGUGCCUAAUACAUGCAAGUCGAGCGAACAGACGAGGAGCUUGCUCCUCUGACGUUAGCGGCGGACGGGUGAGUAACACGUGGAUAACCUACCUAUAAGACUGGGAUAACUUCGGGAAACCGGAGCUAAUACCGGAUAAUAUAUUGAACCGCAUGGUUCAAUAGUGAAAGACGGUUUUGCUGUCACUUAUCGAUGGAUCCGCGCCGCAUUAGCUAGUUGGUAGGGUAACGGCUUACCAAGGCGACGAUGCGUAGCCGACCUGAGAGGGUGAUCGGCCACACUGGAACUGAGACACGGUCCAGACUCCUACGGGAGGCAGCAGUAGGGAAUCUUCCGCAAUGGGCGAAAGCCUGACGGAGCAACGCCGCGUGAGUGGUGAAGGUCUUCGGAUCGUAAAACUCUGUUAUUAGGGAAGAACAAAUGUGUAAGUAACUAUGCACGUCUUGACGGUACCUAAUCAGAAAGCCACGGCUAACUACGUG
This 497-nucleotide ribosomal RNA is filed under the name uncultured bacterium. RNAcentral describes it as "partial 16S ribosomal RNA". It matches the Rfam family "Bacterial small subunit ribosomal RNA", at positions 28 to 507 of the family's 1533-position model. The record is from RNAcentral.